AUGCUCGCUUUCACAGCACAUAUAUUAAGAUGUGAUACAGAGAAGAUGAGCAAGAAUGACACACAAAUUCCUGAAGUAUUCCACAUUUUU
RNAcentral lists this small nuclear RNA (90 nucleotides) under Loxodonta africana (African savanna elephant). Lineage: Eukaryota; Metazoa; Chordata; Mammalia; Proboscidea; Elephantidae. The record is from RNAcentral.